AUACGAACUGUGCAAACGUUAUUCGGAAUCACUGGGCUUAAACGGGUGCGUAGGCGGGUUGGUAGGUCAGAUGUGAAAGCCCACGGCUCAACCGUGGAAUUGCGUUUGAAACCACUAGUCUUGAGGGGAUCAGAGGAGAGCGGAACUGAUGGUGGAGCGGUGAAAUGCGUUGAUAUUAUCAGGAACACCGGUGGCGAAAGCGGCUCUCUGGGAUCCUUCUGACGCUGAGGCACGAAAGCUAGGGGANCGAACGGGAUUAGAUACCCCUGGUAGUCCACACCGUAAACGAUGAAUGCCAGUCGUCGGCAAGUAUACUUGUCGGUGACACACCUAACGGAUUAAGCAUUCCGCCUGGGGAGUACGGUCGCAAGAUUAAAACUCAAAGGAAUUGGACGGGGCCCGCACAAGCGGU
This 412-nucleotide ribosomal RNA is filed under the name uncultured bacterium. Its description in RNAcentral is "bacterial SSU rRNA". It matches the Rfam family "Bacterial small subunit ribosomal RNA", at positions 523 to 933 of the family's 1533-position model. The record is from RNAcentral.